UACGUAGGGGGCAAGCGUUGUCCGGAUUUAUUGGGCGUAAAGAGCGUGUAGGCGGCCUGGCAGGUCAGCUGUGAAAACUCGAGGCUCAACCUCGAGACGUCGGUUGAAACCACCUGGCUAGAGUCCGGAAGAGGAGAGUGGAAUUCCCGGUGUAGCGGUGAAAUGCGUAGAGAUCGAGAGGAACACCAGUGGCGAAGGCGAGUUCCUGGACAAGUCCUGACGCUGAGGCACGAAAGCCAGGGGAGCAAACAGG
Molecule: ribosomal RNA, 253 nt
Filed under: uncultured bacterium
Lineage: Bacteria
Description: partial 16S ribosomal RNA
Rfam family: Bacterial small subunit ribosomal RNA
Source: RNAcentral